AGUGAACGCUGGCGGUAGGCCUAACACAUGCAAGUCGAACGGCAGCACAGUAAGAGCUUGCUCUUACGGGUGGCGAGUGGCGGACGGGUGAGGAAUACAUCGGAAUCUACUUUUUUGUGGGGGAUAACGUAGGGAAACUUACGCUAAUACCGCAUACGACCUACGGGUGAAAGCAGGGGAUCUUCGGACCUUGCGCGAUUGAAUGAGCCGAUGUCGGAUUAGCUAGUUGGCGGGGUAAAGGCCCACCAAGGCGACGAUCCGUAGCUGGUCUGAGAGGAUGAUCAGCCACACUGGAACUGGGACACGGUCCAGACUCCUACGGGAGGCAGCAGUGGGGAAUAUUGGACAAUGGGCGCAAGCCUGAUCCAGCCAUACCGCGUGGGUGAAGAAGGCCUUCGGGUUGUAAAGCCCUUUUGUUGGGAAAGAAAAGCAGCAGGUUAAUACCCCGCUGUUCUGACGGUACCCAAAGAAUAAGCACCGGCUAACUUCGUG
RNAcentral lists this ribosomal RNA (492 nucleotides) under uncultured bacterium. RNAcentral's name for it is "partial 16S ribosomal RNA". It matches the Rfam family "Bacterial small subunit ribosomal RNA", at positions 29 to 507 of the family's 1533-position model. The record is from RNAcentral.